This is a long non-coding RNA of Cyprinus carpio (common carp), 713 nucleotides long. RefSeq lists it as uncharacterized. Lineage: Eukaryota; Metazoa; Chordata; Actinopteri; Cypriniformes; Cyprinidae. The record is from RefSeq and is a predicted model, not a curated record.
UUGAAAAAAAUGUUUAAUUUAUUAUCAGCUCAAAAAUAAGCUUAGAUUUUCAUUCAGGCAGAUAUUUCGCUACCCUGCCUGCAGCAUUAGGACCCUCUUAAAUAUCCUUCCCUGCACGCUGUGCGAUCCUUUCCAUGCUGAGGAUGCCACGGUGCCUCAGAUCAUAUCUACUCGAACUGAACAAUGAUGUUUUGGGAAACCAAAUUUGGAAGAACGUGCCGAAGCUGCAGCAGUGUCCCAAUUGGGUGCGAGGAACAGACAUUGCCAGGUAGCUGAUGUCUACAGCUGACAACCAAUGGAUUGGGUGGGAGGAAGAGAUGUUUCCAGGUACUAGCUGAAGUCAACCAGCCAAUAGCUGACAACCAAUGGGUUGGAUUCCAGCAGAAUGGUUCAUCGUGACAGUCGAUGACUACAGGGUUUUCAGCGAUGGGUUUGAAGCCAGUAUGGAUGUUGUCUCCAGCCCAUGAAGCUACAUAAGGUUGACGUGAUGCCAGAAUUAUGUGCCAACGAUGGGCAUAUUCCUCUGAAUGCACAGACCUGUCACUCUGAUGGAGGUUUAUGCCAUGGCAGAAGAGUUGUGGUGACCGGUUUGGAGCACAACGCUGAGCUGUCAAGCUGUGUAGUACACUUGUUUGUGCCACUGUAUAUCAUUCUCAGAACAGUUUGAUUAAGUAACUGCUUGUUUUUGACUAAUAAAAUCACUUACAGCUCAA